Molecule: ribosomal RNA, 614 nt
Filed under: uncultured bacterium
Lineage: Bacteria
Description: bacterial SSU rRNA
Rfam family: Bacterial small subunit ribosomal RNA (bases 1-532)
Source: RNAcentral
CCUACGGGAGGCAGCAGUAAGGAAUAUUGGUCAAUGGACGCAAGUCUGAACCAGCCAUGCCGCGUGAAGGAUGAAGGCCCUCUGGGUUGUAAACUUCUUUUAUCUGGGACGAAAAAAGGGCUUUCUAGCUCACUUGACGGUACCAGAGGAAUAAGCACCGGCUAACUCCGUGCCAGCAGCCGCGGUAAUACGGAGGGUGCAAGCGUUAUCCGGAUUUACUGGGUUUAAAGGGUGCGUAGGUGGGUAAGUAAGUCAGUGGUGAAAUCUCCGAGCUUAACUCGGAAACUGCCAUUGAUACUAUUUGUCUUGAAUUAUCUGGAGGUAAGCGGAAUAUGUCAUGUAGCGGUGAAAUGCUUAGAUAUGACAUAGAACACCGAUUGCGAAGGCAGCUUACUACGGAUAUAUUGACACUGAGGCACGAAAGCGUGGGGAUCAAACAGGAUUAGAUACCCUGGUAGUCCACGCCCUAAACGAUGGAUACUCGACAUCAGCGAUACACUGUUGGCGUCUGNGCGAAGANAUAGUAUCCACCNCGGAGACGACGACGAGUAGUAACGUACAAUAGAGUUAGACGGCGUGAGACGUAGACCGACGGACGACGACGAGGGAGGAGG